Molecule: transfer RNA, 72 nt
Filed under: Blumeria hordei DH14
Lineage: Eukaryota; Fungi; Ascomycota; Leotiomycetes; Helotiales; Erysiphaceae
Description: tRNA-Ala (CGC) (tRNA-Ala-CGC-6-1)
Rfam family: tRNA
About the family: Transfer RNA (tRNA) molecules are approximately 80 nucleotides in length. Their secondary structure includes four short double-helical elements and three loops (D, anti-codon, and T loops). Further hydrogen bonds mediate the characteristic L-shaped molecular structure. tRNAs have two regions of fundamental functional importance: the anti-codon, which is responsible for specific mRNA codon recognition, and the 3' end, to which the tRNAs corresponding amino acid is attached (by aminoacyl-tRNA synthetases). tRNAs cope with the degeneracy of the genetic code in two manners: having more than one tRNA (with a specific anti-codon) for a particular amino acid; and 'wobble' base-pairing, i.e. permitting non-standard base-pairing at the 3rd anti-codon position.
Source: RNAcentral
GGGCGCUUGGUCUAGGGGUAUGAUCUUCGUUUCGCAUACGAAAAGUCGUGGGUUCGAUUCCUACAGCGUCCA